AACGAACGCUGGCGGCAUGCCUAACACAUGCAAGUCGAACGAGACCUUCGGGUCUAGUGGCGCACGGGUGCGUAACGCGUGGGAAUCUGCCCUUGGUUCGGAAUAACAGUUAGAAAUGACUGCUAAUACCGGAUAAUGUCUUCGGACCAAAGAUUUAUCGCCCAGGGAUGAGCCCGCGUAGGAUUAGCUAGUUGGUGAGGUAAAGGCUCACCAAGGCGACGAUCCUUAGCUGGUCUGAGAGGAUGAUCAGCCACACUGGGACUGAGACACGGCCCAGACUCCUACGGGAGGCAGCAGUGGGGAAUAUUGGACAAUGGGCGAAAGCCUGAUCCAGCAAUGCCGCGUGAGUGAUGAAGGCCUUAGGGUUGUAAAGCUCUUUUACCCGGGAUGAUAAUGACAGUACCGGAGAAUAAGCCCGGCUAACUCCGUGCCAGCAGCCGCGGUAAU
Molecule: ribosomal RNA, 447 nt
Filed under: uncultured bacterium
Lineage: Bacteria
Description: bacterial SSU rRNA
Rfam family: Bacterial small subunit ribosomal RNA
Source: RNAcentral